RNAcentral lists this ribosomal RNA (119 nucleotides) under Pteropus alecto (black flying fox). The record is from RNAcentral. Lineage: Eukaryota; Metazoa; Chordata; Mammalia; Chiroptera; Pteropodidae.
GUUUAUGGCCAUGCUACCCUGAACAAGCCUGAUCCCGUCUGAUCUUGGAAGCUAAGCAGGGUCAGGCCUGGUUAGUACUUGGAUGGGAGACCACCUAGGAAGACCAGGUGCUGUAGGCG